GAUGAACGCUGGCGGCGUGCCUAAUACAUGCAAGUCGAGCGAACGGACGAGAAGCUUGCUUCUCUGAUGUUAGCGGCGGACGGGUGAGUAACACGUGGAUAACCUACCUAUAAGACUGGGAUAACUUCGGGAAACCGUAGCUAAUACCGGAUAAUAUUUUGAACCGCAUGGUUCAAAAGUGAAAGACGGUCUUGCUGUCACUUAUAGAUGGAUCCGCGCUGCAUUAGCUAGUUGGUAAGGUAACGGCUUACCAAGGCAACGAUGCAUAGCCUACCUGAGAGGGUGAUCGGCCACACUGGAACUGAGACACGGUCCAGACUCCUACGGGAGGCAGCAGUAGGGAAUCUUCCGCAAUGGGCGCAAGCCUGACGGAGCAACGCCGCGUGAGUGAUGAAGGUCUUCGGAUCGUAAAACUCUGUUAUUAGGGAAGAACAUAUGUGUAAGUAACUGUGCCCAUCUUGACGGUACCUAAUCAGAAAGCCACGGCUAACUACGUG
RNAcentral lists this ribosomal RNA (497 nucleotides) under uncultured bacterium. RNAcentral describes it as "partial 16S ribosomal RNA". It matches the Rfam family "Bacterial small subunit ribosomal RNA", at positions 28 to 507 of the family's 1533-position model. The record is from RNAcentral.